RNAcentral lists this ribosomal RNA (491 nucleotides) under uncultured bacterium. RNAcentral describes it as "partial 16S ribosomal RNA". It matches the Rfam family "Bacterial small subunit ribosomal RNA", at positions 29 to 507 of the family's 1533-position model. The record is from RNAcentral.
AGUGAACGCUGGCGGUAGGCCUAACACAUGCAAGUCGAACGGCAGCACAGUAAGAGCUUGCUCUUACGGGUGGCGAGUGGCGGACGGGUGAGGAAUACAUCGGAAUCUACUUUUUCGUGGGGGAUAACGUAGGGAAACUUACGCUAAUACCGCAUACGACCUACGGGUGAAAGCAGGGGAUCUUCGGACCUUGCGCGAUUGAAUGAGCCGAUGUCGGAUUAGCUAGUUGGCGGGGUAAAGGCCCACCAAGGCGACGAUCCGUAGCUGGUCUGAGAGGAUGAUCAGCCACACUGGAACUGAGACACGGUCCAGACUCCUACGGGAGGCAGCAGUGGGGAAUAUUGGACAAUGGGCGCAAGCCUGAUCCAGCCAUACCGCGUGGGUGAAGAAGGCCUUGGGUUGUAAAGCCCUUUUGUUGGGAAAGAAAAGCAGCAGGUUAAUACCCCGCUGUUCUGACGGUACCCAAAGAAUAAGCACCGGCUAACUUCGUG